GGACCCGCACAAGCGGUGGAGUAUGUGGUUUAAUUCGAUGCAACACGAAGAACCUUACCAGGGUUUGAAAUCAUUUCAAAACUCCUUGAAAGAGGAGCCUCCUUCGGGAUGAAAUGACAGGUGGUGCAUGGCUGUCGUCAGCUCGUGUUGUGAAAUGUCGAGUUAAGUCUCGUAACGAGCGCAACCCAUGUCUCUUGUUGCUCACUGAGUGCUUAAGAGAGACUGCCGACCAACAUCGGAGGAAGGUGUGGAUGAUGUCAAGUCAGCAUGCCCCUUACAUCCUGGGCUACACACGUACUACAAUGGUAAGGACAAAGAGAUGCUAACUCGCGAGAGCAAGCU
Molecule: ribosomal RNA, 342 nt
Filed under: uncultured bacterium
Lineage: Bacteria
Description: bacterial SSU rRNA
Rfam family: Bacterial small subunit ribosomal RNA
Source: RNAcentral